This 251-nucleotide ribosomal RNA is filed under the name uncultured bacterium. RNAcentral's name for it is "partial 16S ribosomal RNA". It matches the Rfam family "Bacterial small subunit ribosomal RNA", at positions 15 to 253 of the family's 1533-position model. The record is from RNAcentral.
GAUCAUGGCUCAGGAUAAACGCUAGCGGCAGGCCUAACACAUGCAAGUCGAGGGGCAUCGGAUAGAGUUACUUCGGUUACUCUUGCCGGCGACCGGCGGACGGGUGCGUAACGCGUAUGCAACCUACCUUCAACAGGGGGAUAAUCCGAAGAAAUUUGGUCUAAGUACCCCAUAAUAUUCCGACAGGCAUCUGUCGGAGUUGAAAGCUUCGGUGGUUGGAGAUGGGCAUGACGUUGUAUUAGCUAGAUGGG